AAAAACAGACCUGCCAACAGUAAAGAGCUCGUGACUCUGACUAUUAAAUUAAACAGUUUGUGAGAAAACUUUGCUCUAAAAAGCUCCCUUGCACUAGCUCUCCACACACCCUUGAGACUACAUGAGAUACCCAUAUGCAUGCUUUGAGCGACAUUGCCAAACCCACUAGCGAGAUGAUCACAAGAAGAGAAGGCACAAACCAUUAUUCAAGAUCACACGGAACUACAGAACAGUACCUCUGCUUUUUUUAAUCGUGAGGUGCAGCACAAGUUCAAC
This 276-nucleotide long non-coding RNA is filed under the name Setaria italica (foxtail millet). RNAcentral describes it as "long non-coding RNA (SITA_LNC003203)". The record is from RNAcentral. Lineage: Eukaryota; Viridiplantae; Streptophyta; Magnoliopsida; Poales; Poaceae.